GUUUGUGCUUGUUGCACCACUCAUUUUCAGCUCUUCAGGUCCUACUCACUGGAUGAGCAGAUCAAAGAACUGAUAGGACAGAAUUAAGAACUUGGUUCUUAGUCUGUGAGGGCACGCUUAAGAGGAGAGGGUCAGACAGUCUGAUCCUUGUCAACCCCCAGGGAGCUUCGAGGAGAGCCAUGCAGUAGCGGCUACACCGGACGCAGUUGCAUGGCACAAAUUCUUUGUGGCACAUCGAUGGCAACCAUAAGCUGAUCCGGAAACAAAGGGAGGAGACAACCUCGGAGGCAGAGACUCUGCCUAUGGCGUUAGGCCUCCCUGUUGACUCUCGACAAGCUUCAGUGACACUAGAGUCUCUAGAGGAAACAUUGGAGAUACGGCGUCUUAGUCUUCAAGACCAUCUCUCUCUGGCUGCAGAACAGGAGAAAG
Molecule: long non-coding RNA, 429 nt
Filed under: Salmo salar (Atlantic salmon)
Lineage: Eukaryota; Metazoa; Chordata; Actinopteri; Salmoniformes; Salmonidae
Description: lncRNA (ENSSSAG00000107048.1)
Source: RNAcentral